Molecule: non-coding RNA, 31 nt
Filed under: Rattus norvegicus (Norway rat)
Lineage: Eukaryota; Metazoa; Chordata; Mammalia; Rodentia; Muridae
Source: RNAcentral
UGCCUGCAAAUUUCAGGAUGACUUAAUGUUU